UGAUGAGAAUACAAGUACAACAUGCGCUCUAUGCCCUGCGAUGACUUACACUACCUCUCCUAACGGAUUGACAGAAUGUUUGCCAUGUUUUGUCUGUGACACAAGUAAUGGGCUGAGAGUAAAGCAGGAAUGUACAUUAAUAUCAAAUACAGUUUGUGAACCUCUGUCAGGUUAUUACUGUAUAGACUUGCUCUCAAGCUGUAAAAAGGCCGUGAAAUAUUCAACCUGCUCACCCGGACAAUACAUCAACCAAACAGGAACAGAAUUGACUGAUACAGUGUGUGAUGACUGUCCUGUUGGUUCAUAUUCAGAUGAUACAUUCUGCAAAUUGCAUACAAACUGUGAACCUCUUGGCAAAAUAACCAUCAGGGAAGGAACCGACACGACUGAUGCGGAGUGCAGUAAUGGAGUGCCUUCUUAUUUAUUACCACUCAUUCUGUCUGUGUGUGUGCUGGUGGUAUUCAUAACUC
Molecule: long non-coding RNA, 470 nt
Organism: Sinocyclocheilus rhinocerous
Lineage: Eukaryota; Metazoa; Chordata; Actinopteri; Cypriniformes; Cyprinidae
Exons: 4
Source: RefSeq, a predicted model, not a curated record